CUUUAAUAAUUACAUUGCUCUGUUACAGUGGCUGCUUUAUUGCUGUUUAGUUUUUGUUGGUGUUUGGGGUCAGUUUGAAAAAUAAUACAGGAAGCGUCACUACAGGGAUUCGUUCACAACAGUGCGGGUGACUCCAAAUGAGCAUUUGAGGGACAUCCUGUAAAGAGGCUUCGUGCUCAAUCCCAGGCUGUUGCUCUAGUUUCAAAGCCUCCAGAAGACACCCGGCCCUUUGCUCCAGCCAUUCAGUUAUUAGGUGGCAGCUGCACUGAAUUGGCCCCAGCUCCAAGCUCAGAGUGAGCAUACUCACAUUGGACAUUGAGCUGAGCCUCCAGCCUCACUGCUCCCAGUGGAUUCUCCACGACGCACUCAUAAAGCCCGUGAUCGUCAGGGCUCAGGGAAUCGAUUCUCAGCUCCGACUUUCCCCGGGAGGUGGAAAUAUUCCACCUCGGCUGCUCGCUCCCGGUCUCUCUCCUCCACGUGAUGUUGGCUUCGGGGUUAGCAUCUCCCUGGCAGUUUAAAAGCGGCCCUGACAACCCGCAGCCUGGGCUGACUCACAGUUCAGGUGGACCUCCAGUGUGCUGUUCUUGCUUCGGAAUCGUGCUGCAGAUAGACCCAGGCGAAUCUCACAGCUGCCAGAACGCAGAGGGAGGCCGCUGUGCUCCGGGAUGAACAAGGCGACUAGCAGCGACAGCAAGACUGAGCAGGCGCCAAAAAGAAACGGAGGUCCUGGGAUUAUAGUACUCUGGACAAACAAAAUAAGAUAGAGGAAGAAAAGAAA
This is a long non-coding RNA of Stegostoma tigrinum, 778 nucleotides long. RefSeq lists it as uncharacterized. Lineage: Eukaryota; Metazoa; Chordata; Chondrichthyes; Orectolobiformes; Stegostomatidae. The record is from RefSeq and is a predicted model, not a curated record. The transcript has 3 exons.